This 506-nucleotide long non-coding RNA is filed under the name Ananas comosus (pineapple). Its description in RNAcentral is "long non-coding RNA (ACOM_LNC025258)". The record is from RNAcentral. Lineage: Eukaryota; Viridiplantae; Streptophyta; Magnoliopsida; Poales; Bromeliaceae.
AUAACGUGCGAUCAAGUACCAACCGUCUCUAAAGCAAGCGACAAAGAAUUUAUUCGAGACCUAAAUUCGAAUUCUAGUUAAUUUAUAUUUUCAACUAAAUUUAUUUCUAAAUAAAAUAAACGAAACAGGUAAUAUACUACUUUUCUCUCAAAAAAAAAAAAUGUGAUCAAAUUAAUAGUACAUUAUUAUUGAUGCUAUUAAAUUUUUAAAAAAUUUAUUGAAUUAGAAUAAUAGUAAUUUUUCUAGGAUUUAGUAUGGUUUUUUUAAAAAGUUAAAAUUUAAUAGGUGAUUGAUGAAAUAAUAUAAUGUAGAAAAUAGAAUUAGUCAAUUAGUAGAUCUAAUAGUAAAAAAUUUAAUAAUAAAAAGUGCUUGAUACUAUUAGAAAUAAUAUUUCAAACAGACUUUAUAUAUACGACAAUAAUAUAUGUAUUUAUAUAUGUUAUAUAAUAUUUUUUUAAAAAAAUAGUAUGUUGUUUUAUUUAAUGGAAGGAUGAUUUUAUUUAUGU